RNAcentral lists this transfer RNA (74 nucleotides) under Chloroflexota bacterium. RNAcentral's name for it is "Chloroflexi bacterium tRNA-Met". It matches the Rfam family "tRNA". From Rfam's summary of the family: Transfer RNA (tRNA) molecules are approximately 80 nucleotides in length. Lineage: Bacteria; Bacillati; Chloroflexota. The record is from RNAcentral. RNAcentral also lists the same sequence under 1 other name.
GGCGACGUAGCUCAGUUGGUCAGAGCGAGCGACUCAUAACCGCUAGGUGGCUGGUUCGAAUCCAGCCGUCGCCA